Non-coding RNA from Pelobates cultripes (western spadefoot toad), 213 nucleotides. Lineage: Eukaryota; Metazoa; Chordata; Amphibia; Anura; Pelobatidae. The record is from the annotation of a GenBank genome assembly.
GAAGCUUUAAUAGCUCCCUCCUCUCAUGAGUGCUCCUAAUUAUGGAGCAUCUCAUCUCCAUGUACUAUUUGAUAUAUCAAAACCAAAGGUUGCAAUCAUCCUAAUCUAUAUAUAGCACAAGAGCGAGGUUCUAGAGAGUACCCAAAUAUAUGCAAGUUAAAACUAAGGGACUACUUAGCAUAUAUACUAUACAUUAUUGGUCCCAGAUGCACU